UGCAUUUCUAAUAAAUUAGUUUAUUUUUCUUCAUUAGUUCUUCAUCUCACAACUUUAAAAUCUGUACAUCUUUGGGAAAGGCAUUGAUUUCAAAUUCUUCCUAGCCAUUCAGCUGUAAAUCUACUAUUCUUAUUUAAGGCAUUAGGUUCUUCACAUUAAGCUUUGAUCUUUUAUAAUAAAAGGACAAGAAGCAGAUAAUAAACAGACAACAACAGAAGUCAAUUCCCUUACAGCAGCAAGCUUUUGCGUGCAAAGUUUACAUCCCCUAUCUAUGCACUGAGAGAUUACUUCAUGAGGAAUGAGGGCUUAGUGUGCUGGGUAACCAGACAAACAUCGUGUGUGCUGAGAACAGGAUGGCUUGUCUGAGCAAGUUACACAGACAGGGGAAAAGCAGUAUCUUCACAGCUUGCUGAUUUGAAGGAGUAAAGAACGAAGUGACAGCCAGACGGGCAGGGGACACGGGGUAGCAGGCAUCCAGUGCACUCACAGUGUGCCUACUGCAAGGGCUAAGAACCAAGAAAUGUGCCUGGGCUAGAGCUCAGACGAUGAGCUGUGGUCCUGCAGUUGGAUCUCUUCAGAGCAGCAUGCAGAGAGACAAAGUGCUGUUACAGUUCGCAGCAGAUCUGUUCCUAACUAUGUGAGGGCUGCCAGGGAUUUUCAGGGAGUUGCAGUGAUGGACUCCCUCCUCUGGUUGGUAUCUCUAUCUGCUGAUACUAGAGAACUGCAGGGUCCUGAACAAUUGUGGCUGACAGAAACACUUAGAGCUGAGGUGGACCAGACCCAUCAAAUGGGAAGUUACUGGUUUUGUCUGGUCUCCUGCGCUGACAGACACACGACUGCUGCCAAGUCCUCCUUCCUGUCCUUCUCGUACAGCAUCAGUGAAGAAUAGGCUGAUCAGAAUCUCUCAAGACCUGAGCUAUCCACAUCACAUCAAAACAAGGAGAAAUGUUACGGAUGAACUAGAAAUGUUUUAAUAUACUUGGAGGACAAUUAGGAACAUCAUAAGAAAUCUUGACUAUAAACAAAUGCCACUUGCAGAUGCACAGAGAUUCAGAGGUUCUGCCAGCUGGUGAAGUGUUGGCUGUGAUUUCUGAUGGGUGGAACAGUGAGAGCCGACUCAAGUGCUGUUCUUAUUGCAAUCUUAUAGGAUUAUCCAGCUUCGUGAGAUAUACACUAGGAAUUACUGUGGAGAGGAUUACAGGUAACAUAAACCAUGGGAACAGAGAGAAUGAGAGCCUUUGGGAUUACAGGGAGUGCGAGAGUAAGCAGUAGAGAAGCCCGUAUUAGGCAGGAGCACAGCAGAAGCAGAGGUCUCAAGAAGCAGAGGCAGAGCUCUCAAGCCAGCCCCAAGCUUUGCUUGGGAAGGAAGCUGGGCUGUUUACACCCUGGAUUUUUCCCAAGGCAGCACAACGGCAUGCAGAGAGGGCACACAUACUGUCUAAAACACUAGAGGGGUGAAAGUGGAGCAUUCCUGUUUGCAUUCAGUGGUGCAAACAGCAUGCUCAGGGCUGCUUCUAGCUACUCCCCUGAAGCCCCAGGGUAACCUUGCUCAGUUUUGUUUGAGACACGUCUAUUAGCAAUAGCC
RNAcentral lists this long non-coding RNA (1585 nucleotides) under Strigops habroptila (Kakapo). Its description in RNAcentral is "lncRNA (ENSSHBG00005011093.1)". Lineage: Eukaryota; Metazoa; Chordata; Aves; Psittaciformes; Psittacidae. The record is from RNAcentral.